Molecule: ribosomal RNA, 1059 nt
Filed under: Microthecium levitum
Lineage: Eukaryota; Fungi; Ascomycota; Sordariomycetes; Coronophorales; Ceratostomataceae
Description: SSU rRNA
Rfam family: Eukaryotic small subunit ribosomal RNA
Source: RNAcentral
AUGCAUGUCUAAGUAUAAGCAAUUAUACAGCGAAACUGCGAAUGGCUCAUUAUAUAAGUUAUCGUUUAUUUGAUAGUGCCUUACUACUUGGAUAACCGUGGUAAUUCUAGAGCUAAUACAUGCUGAAAGCCCCGACUCACGGAGGGGCGUAUUUAUUAGAUUAAAAACCAAUGCCCUUCGGGGCUCCUUGGUGAUUCAUGAUAACUUCUCGAAUCGCACGGCCUUGCGCCGGCGAUGGUUCAUUCAAAUUUCUUCCCUAUCAACUUUCGAUGUUUGGGUAGUGGCCAAACAUGGUGGCAACGGGUAACGGAGGGUUAGGGCUCGACCCCGGAGAAGGAGCCUGAGAAACGGCUCCUACAUCCAAGGAAGGCAGCAGGCGCGCAAAUUACCCAAUCCCGACUCGGGGAGGUAGUGACAAUAAAUACUGAUGCAGGGCUCUUUAGGGUCUUGCAAUUGGAAUGAGUACAAUUUAAAUCCCUUAACGAGGAACAAUUGGAGGGCAAGUCUGGUGCCAGCAGCCGCGGUAACUCCAGCUCCAAUAGCGUAUAUUAAAGUUGUUGUGGUUAAAAAGCUCGUAGUUGAACCUUGGGCCUGGCCGUCCGGUCCGCCUCACCGCGUGCACUGGCACGGCCGGGCCUUCCCACCGCGGAAUCGCAUGCCCUUUACUGGGCGUGUCGGGGAAGCGGUACUUUUACUGUGAAAAAAUUAGAGUGCUCUAAGCAGGCCUAUGCUCGAAUACAUUAGCAUGGAAUAAUAGAAUAGGACAGGCGUUCUAUUUUGUUGGUUUCUAGGACGUCUGUAAUGAUUAACAGAAACAAUCGGGGGCGUCAGUAUUGCAUCGUCAGAGGUGAAAUUCUUAGAUCGACGCAAGACUAACUACUGCGAAAGCAUUCGCCAAGGGUGUUUUCAUUAAUCAGGAACGAAAGUUAGGGGAUCGAAGACGAUCAGAUACCGUCGUAGUCUUAACCAUAAACUAUGCCGACUAGGGAUCGGGCGGUGUUAAUUUUUGACCCGCUCGGCACCUUACGAGAAAUCUUAAGUGCUUGGGCUCCAGGGGGA